This 82-nucleotide microRNA precursor is filed under the name Mus pahari (shrew mouse). RNAcentral's name for it is "miRNA (MGP_PahariEiJ_G0006771.1)". Lineage: Eukaryota; Metazoa; Chordata; Mammalia; Rodentia; Muridae. The record is from RNAcentral.
UACACAUGGUUGGGAACCACCAUGUGGUUGCUGGGACUUGAACUCAGGACCGCUGGAAGAACAGUCAGUGCUCUUCUGAGUU